Long non-coding RNA from Populus euphratica (Euphrates poplar), 1229 nucleotides. RefSeq lists it as uncharacterized. NCBI's taxonomy places the organism in Eukaryota, Viridiplantae, Streptophyta, Magnoliopsida, Malpighiales, Salicaceae. The transcript has 2 exons. The record is from RefSeq and is a predicted model, not a curated record.
UAGUAACUUUUUCUGCUUCACUUUAUGUUUCGUAGUCUUCUUUGUCACUGUGCGGUCAAGGCAGAAGAAAGGUUGGAGAAAGCAAUCGAAUUGGGGGUUUGGUCUUGGUUUGAUACAUAAAUAGAAUGAGAGAAACAUAAGAAUCAGAUUCUGCCUUGCCAGAUUACAUUAAUAGGUAGCUCAUGGAGAUGGUCUCCACCACUAAAUCUCAAAAUCGAGGCUUCUUGACUGGGAUGAAAUGCCAUGAGGUCUGCAGUGUCAAUUUCUUUCGACUGAUUUUGACUCUGGCCUUGGAUAGUGAAAUAGAGGAAAGUGGAGGGUGUUGCCGUGUUGAGACUCAAACCUACUGAUAGUUGAUGAUGACAGAUACUUAUAUGGAAUUGCUCUUUUUGCAUAACUUCUGUAUGUAAACGUUCAACUGUUUGCUGUAUGGUUACUUUGAUGAUCGUCCCUGGAUCUUUGAUGAUCGUCCCUGGAUAUUUGAUGAUCUGGAAGUCCCAUCUGAAAGGUAUGUGGUGCCUGACAUCAUCCUCUAACAGUAGACGAUUUCGGUUAAUGUUCUUGAGGAUGAAACUUGGGGAUUGAUUAAGAACUGAUAAUGGGAGAUCCCCUGAAAAUCAUUGGCAGUGAGAUGUUUAAUUGGGAAUCAAAUAAGGGUUAGAUGAGGAUAAAAUAGUUCAUGAACAGGAUUAUUGAAGGCCUGUGCUUGUGGGAGAGAGGACUUACUGGCAAGAUGGAAACCCAACUAGGACCUCCUUCAACUUGAUUUCCUUUCAAUGGUGUGUCCAUAUCGGGGGAAACCACAUAUGGCAGCCAAUUUGUGCUUCACUAGCUGACUAAUCACCUAAUCGUGAGAGCCAGAAACAUAAGCUGACCAGAGGCAUCUGCUUUUGCAUUCUUCCCUGCAACAUACAGAGGAUUUAUCACUUAGCAACGGCAUCAAUGCUGGAUAAUGUGUUUAGAAGUAACAGAAGAACUGCUACGAAGAAACAUUUUCUUUUACUAGGGUGUGGAGGUAGAGGUUGUAGCAUGAGAUUUUCCUUCUAAGAUGCAUAGAGAAAAAUCCGUUGUAACCAAUAUGAAUCAAGGCAGUUUCUUCUUUCUCUUAUAGUACUGGGAUGCGUGAUUAUUUUCCUUCAGCUUAUAAAAGGGCAUACUUUCGAGAUUCCUUUAUUUAGAACAUGUAAUUUGCAGUUUCUUUCUUCUGAUAAAAAUCUUCUACUGUCAUA